This 448-nucleotide long non-coding RNA is filed under the name Nicotiana tabacum (common tobacco). RNAcentral's name for it is "long non-coding RNA (NTAB_LNC006230)". The record is from RNAcentral. Lineage: Eukaryota; Viridiplantae; Streptophyta; Magnoliopsida; Solanales; Solanaceae.
CUGGAUAGUCGUCAUAGUUGAGAUGCCAGGAGUACAUAAAUAAGUUAGGCGUGCAAUCUUUACAACACCAAUAUGCUGUCAACAAGAAGGCAGUUAAUGUCUCAGUAAGUCACAAACCUUUGCAGCGCAGUAGGAAGGACCGCCAAUAAACAAGAAAGGUAGUCAAGAGGAGUGCAUUCCCCAAUUUGAAAGUCAUUCACGGACCAGAGGACAUUUUAUUUCAAGAAUUUUCUCCACCUCCAAAAUAAAAUAAAAAUGCAUCAAAUUUUAUUUUUAUGUGAGAAAAAAAAAAAUAGAAUACAGAAAACAAAAAUGUCAGUAAGAUAUUUCUCAAAUCACUGCUCCCCCCUCCCCCCCCAAAAAAAAAACAAAUAAAACAAAUAAAAACCAACUCCAUUGAGAAAAAGAAGUACCAGAAAGUGAUGAAGGAGGUGGAAUAUGUGGCUGC